GGGGGUGUAGCUCAGUUGGUUAGAGUGCCGGCCUGUCACGCCGGAGGUCGCGGGUUCGAGUCCCGUCACUCCCG
RNAcentral lists this transfer RNA (74 nucleotides) under Candidatus Phaeomarinibacter ectocarpi. Its description in RNAcentral is "Candidatus Phaeomarinobacter ectocarpi tRNA-Asp-GTC". It matches the Rfam family "tRNA". From Rfam's summary of the family: Transfer RNA (tRNA) molecules are approximately 80 nucleotides in length. Their secondary structure includes four short double-helical elements and three loops (D, anti-codon, and T loops). The record is from RNAcentral. Lineage: Bacteria; Pseudomonadati; Pseudomonadota; Alphaproteobacteria; Hyphomicrobiales; Parvibaculaceae.